AGGUUCUGGACCGAAGCCUCUA
This 22-nucleotide small nuclear RNA is filed under the name Arabidopsis thaliana (thale cress). Its description in RNAcentral is "snRNA_14447". The record is from RNAcentral. Lineage: Eukaryota; Viridiplantae; Streptophyta; Magnoliopsida; Brassicales; Brassicaceae.